GAUGAACGCUGGCGGCGUGCCUAAUACAUGCAAGUCGAACGAAUCUUCUUCGGAAGAUGAGUGGCGAACGGGUGAGUAAUACAUAGGUAACCUGCCCCUGUGCGGGGGAUAACAGGAGGAAACUCCUGCUAAUACCGCAUAGCCAUGAGCACCGCAUGGAGCUCAUGCCAAAUAUCCUUUCGGGGAUAGCGCAGGGAUGGACCUAUGGCGCAUUAGCCGGUUGGCGGGGCAACGGCCCACCAAGGCAACGAUGCGUAGCCGGCCUGAGAGGGCGGACGGACACAUUGGGACUGAGACACGGACCAGACUCCUACGGGAGGCAGCAGUAGGGAAUUUUCGGCAAUGGGGGAAACCCUGACCGAGCAACGCCGCGUGAGCGAAGAAGGCCUUCGGGUCGUAAGGCUCUGUUGUAAAGGAAGAACGGCGCAUACAGGAAAUGGUAUACGAGUGACGGUACUUUACCAGAAAGCCACGGCUAACUACGUGCCAGCAGCCGCCGUAA
RNAcentral lists this ribosomal RNA (502 nucleotides) under uncultured bacterium. Its description in RNAcentral is "partial 16S ribosomal RNA". It matches the Rfam family "Bacterial small subunit ribosomal RNA", at positions 28 to 523 of the family's 1533-position model. The record is from RNAcentral.